RNAcentral lists this ribosomal RNA (484 nucleotides) under uncultured bacterium. RNAcentral describes it as "partial 16S ribosomal RNA". It matches the Rfam family "Bacterial small subunit ribosomal RNA", at positions 30 to 507 of the family's 1533-position model. The record is from RNAcentral.
AUUGAACGCUGGCGGCAGGCCUAACACAUGCAAGUCGAGCGGAUGAAGGGAGCUUGCUCCUGGAUUCAGCGGCGGACGGGUGAGUAAUGCCUAGGAAUCUGCCUUGUAGUGGGGGAUAACGUCCGGAAACGGGCGCUAAUACCGCAUACGUCCUGAGGGAGAAAGUGGUGGAUCUUCGGACCUCACGCUAUCAGAUGAGCCUAGGUCGGAUUAGCUAGUUGGUGGGGUAAAGGCCUACCAAGGCGACGAUCCGUAACUGGUCUGAGAGGAUGAUCAGUCACACUGGAACUGAGACACGGUCCAGACUCCUACGGGAGGCAGCAGUGGGGAAUAUUGGACAAAGGGCGAAAGCCUGAUCCAGACAUGCCGCGUGUGUGAAGAAGGUCUUCGGAUUGUAAAGCACUUUAAGUUGGGAGGAAGGGCAGUAAGUUAAUACCUUGCUGUUUUGACGUUACCAACAGAAUAAGCACCGGCUAACUUCGUG